UACUUUCUAUUAAUGGAAGUUAAAAGGAUUAAAUGUCAUAUUAAAUUGAAGAUGAGGGGCUUCCAUGCAAAUUUUUGAUAGUGGAUUACAAAUGUCAACUUAACAAUCCAUUGUUCCAUUUCACAUUACAUAUAUACACAUAUAGACGGCAGAAAGAACCAGAGAAACCGAGAGAGACCGAGGAAAGAAAAAAAAAAGAAAAAAAGAAAAGAAAAAAAAAAAGAAAGUGCUGGCGGCGAUAUGUAGGAGGCGAGAUGUUUUUUUUUCAAGUAUUGGGUUGUCUUUCAUAGCCUCAUUGUUUCUACAAUCACAAGUAGGUAGUGACGUGGAAGCUUGGAGAUGCCCGUCAAUUUAGCCAAGAUUUUUAUCCAUAAAUCACAGAUGGUAGCUACGUUGAGCGACAUUGGAGCCUAUCGAUCUGCGAGUCGAGCCACAUGGUGUAUUUAUUGUAUGUCUAGUCUUGUCAGUACAUACAUUAUAUAUUUUUGGGAUUGAUGCAUUUUUAUCAGAAAAUGUAUUUAUAUCAUGGGUUCGCUAUAUAUUUUUAUAUAUGUUUUGCAAAUGGGGUUACCUGGUUCGAAAGGAGUGUAAAUUUCUUUCCAGUACACUUAUUUUGAACAGUUUGUAUUUCGAGGGACUAGUGUGUCCUAUUUUAAAUUAUAUGUAUGGAUUUGAGAAAAUU
Molecule: long non-coding RNA, 682 nt
Organism: Olea europaea var. sylvestris
Lineage: Eukaryota; Viridiplantae; Streptophyta; Magnoliopsida; Lamiales; Oleaceae
Exons: 3
Source: RefSeq, a predicted model, not a curated record